CGGUAGUAGUCAAUUUUGGAGGUACACCAGUGCGAAGGCGACUCUCUGUGCUGUAACUGACGCUGAGGCGCGAAAGCUGGGGAGCAAACAGGAUUAGAUACCCUGGUAGUCCACGCCGUAAACGAUGAGUGCUAGGUUUAGGGGUUUCGAUACCCUUGGUGCCGAAGUAACACAUUAAGCAUUCCGCCUGGGGAGUACGGUCGCAAGACUGAAACUCAAAGGAAUUGACGGGGACCCGCACAAGCAGUGGAGUAUGUGGUUUAAUUCGAAGCAACGCGAAGAACCUUACCAGGUCUUGACAUCCCUCUGACCGGUAUAGAGAUAUACCUUUCCUUCGGGACAGAGGAGACAGGUGGUGCAUGGUUGUCGUCAGCUCGUGUCGUGAGAUGUUGGGUUAAGUCCCGCAACGAGCGCAACCCUUGAUCUUAGUUGCCAGCAGGUAAGGCUGGGCACUCUAAGGUGACUGCCGGUGACAAACCGGAGGAAGGUGGGGAUGACGUCAAAUCAUCAUGCCCCUUAUGACCUGGGCUACACACGUACUACAAUGGCCAGUACAACGGGAAGCGAAGCCGCGAGGUGGAGCGAAUCCUAAAAAGCUGGUCUCAGUUCGGAUUGCAGGCUGCAACUCGCCUGCAUG
This 637-nucleotide ribosomal RNA is filed under the name Paenibacillus sp. CH176. Its description in RNAcentral is "bacterial SSU rRNA". It matches the Rfam family "Bacterial small subunit ribosomal RNA", at positions 682 to 1322 of the family's 1533-position model. Lineage: Bacteria; Bacillati; Bacillota; Bacilli; Caryophanales; Paenibacillaceae. The record is from RNAcentral.